This 404-nucleotide ribosomal RNA is filed under the name Verrucomicrobiota bacterium. RNAcentral describes it as "Verrucomicrobia bacterium partial 16S ribosomal RNA". It matches the Rfam family "Bacterial small subunit ribosomal RNA", at positions 355 to 776 of the family's 1533-position model. Lineage: Bacteria; Pseudomonadati; Verrucomicrobiota. The record is from RNAcentral.
UGAGGAAUAUUGGUCAAUGGGCGAGAGCCUGAACCAGCCAUGCCGCGUGAGUGAUGAAGGCCCUAGGGUUGUAAAGCUCUUUCACCGGUGAAGAUAAUGACGGUAACCGGAGAAGAAGCCCCGGCUAACUUCGUGCCAGCAGCCGCGGUAAUACGAAGGGGGCUAGCGUUGUUCGGAUUUACUGGGCGUAAAGCGCACGUAGGCGGACUUUUAAGUCAGGGGUGAAAUCCCGGGGCUCAACCCCGGAACUGCCUUUGAUACUGGAAGUCUUGAGUAUGGUAGAGGUGAGUGGAAUUCCGGGUGUAGAGGUGAAAUUCGUAGAUAUUCGGAGGAACACCAGUGGCGAAGGCGGCUCACUGGACCAUUACUGACGCUGAGGUGCGAAAGCGUGGGGAGCAAACAGG